AAACUCCACACAGUUCUCCACCGACACCUGGCAAAGGCACAAGGAAGACGAUAAUCACACACUUCUUAACCGAGGCCUGAUGCUGUCAAACCCGCUGAGAUCCGGCAGCACUUCGGGUUGAGGAAAGUGGAUGAGAAAGUGGGAAAACGUAGAACUCGUGUGAACAGGUGAUCGAUGGUCGGCGUGGACUCAGUGGGCUAAAGGACCUGGGAGCCUGGGAUCUCUAGAUGAGAUCACCAGUUGUGGAGCUCCAACCGGCGCGGCCUUGUUGGCUUCGGAAGCCAUGGCCUCCAGUACGGAAGCGGCCAUUCCAGGGUUCCCAAGCCGCUGAGAGGAUUCUCCCGACGCCGGAGCAACAUCACCCGGCGAGGACAGCCUGGAACAUCGGGCCUCCGUAGAGGCAACUGUGGAGGCCUCAAUGGGCCCCACUAUGGGUGAACUGGGGUUGGGGACUGGACUUUGUGCCUUCCCUCAUAAUGCGAACCAUUGUGGGGGGAUGUUCUUUAUGUUUAAAACUCUUAUUAAUGUUAUGUCUGUAUUCCUUCUUUAUGUGCUGCAAAAUGGCAAGAAGCAUUUCACUUCACUACACCUAGGUGUAUG
Molecule: long non-coding RNA, 600 nt
Organism: Leucoraja erinaceus (little skate)
Lineage: Eukaryota; Metazoa; Chordata; Chondrichthyes; Rajiformes; Rajidae
Exons: 3
Source: RefSeq, a predicted model, not a curated record